RNAcentral lists this unclassified non-coding RNA (335 nucleotides) under soil metagenome. Its description in RNAcentral is "partial contains 5.8S ribosomal RNA, internal transcribed spacer 2, and large subunit ribosomal RNA". The stretch from base 1 to 119 matches the Rfam family "5.8S ribosomal RNA", at positions 35 to 154 of the family's 154-position model. The record is from RNAcentral.
GAUGAAGAACGUAGCGAAAUGCGAUAAGUAAUGUGAAUUGCAGAAUUCAGUGAAUCAUCGAAUCUUUGAACGCACAUUGCGCCGCCAGUAUUCUGGCGGGCAUGCCUGUUCGAGCGUCAUUUCAACCAUCAAGCCCCCGGCUUGUGUUGGGGACCUGCGGCUGCCGCAGGCCCUGAAAAGCAGUGGCGGGCUCGCUGUCACACCGAGCGUAGUAGCAUACAUCUCGCUCUGGGCGUGCUGCGGGUUCCGGCCGUUAAACCACCUUCAUAACCCAAGGUUGACCUCGGAUCAGGUAGGAAGACCCGCUGAACUUAAGCAUAUCAAUAAGCGGAGGA